CCUACGGGCGGCUGCAGUGGGGAAUAUUGGACAAUGGGCGAAAGCCUGAUCCAGCCAUGCCGCGUGUGUGAAGAAGGCCUUCGGGUUGUAAAGCACUUUCAGUGGGGAAGAAAGCCUUGGGGCUAAUACCCUCGAGGAAGGACAUCACCCACAGAAGAAGCACCGGCUAACUCCGUGCCAGCAGCCGCGGUAAUACGGAGGGUGCGGGCGUUAAUCGGAAUUACUGGGCGUAAAGCGCGCGUAGGCGGUCUGAUAAGCCGGUUGUGAAAGCCCCGGGCUCAACCUGGGAACGGCAUCCGGAACUGUCAGGCUAGAGUGCAGGAGAGGAAGGUAGAAUUCCCGGUGUAGCGGUGAAAUGCGUAGAGAUCGGGAGGAAUACCAGUGGCGAAGGCGGCCUUCUGGACUGACACUGACGCUGAGGUGCGAAAGCGUGGGUAGCAAACAGGAUUAGAUACCCUAGUAGUC
Molecule: ribosomal RNA, 465 nt
Filed under: Vreelandella stevensii
Lineage: Bacteria; Pseudomonadati; Pseudomonadota; Gammaproteobacteria; Oceanospirillales; Halomonadaceae
Description: partial 16S ribosomal RNA
Rfam family: Bacterial small subunit ribosomal RNA
Source: RNAcentral